AUUGAACGCUGGCGGCAGGCCUAACACAUGCAAGUCGAGCGGAUGAAGGGAGCUUGCUCCUGGAUUCAGCGGCGGACGGGUGAGUAAUGCCUAGGAAUCUGCCUGGUAGUGGGGGAUAACGUCCGGAAACGGGCGCUAAUACCGCAUACGUCCUGAGGGAGAAAGUGGGGGAUCUUCGGACCUCACGCUAUCAGAUGAGCCUAGGUCGGAUUAGCUAGUUGGUGGGGUAAAGGCCUACCAAGGCGACGAUCCGUAACUGGUCUGAGAGGAUGAUCAGUCACACUGGAACUGAGACACGGUCCAGACUCCUACGGGAGGCAGCAGUGGGGAAUAUUGGACAAUGGGCGAAAGCCUGAUCCAGCCAUGCCGCGGGUGUGAAGAAGGUCUUCGGAUUGUAAAGCACUUUAAGUUGGGAGGAAGGGCAGUAAGUUAAUACCUGGCUGUUUUGACGUUACCAACAGAAUAAGCACCGGCGAACUUCGU
This 483-nucleotide ribosomal RNA is filed under the name uncultured bacterium. RNAcentral describes it as "partial 16S ribosomal RNA". It matches the Rfam family "Bacterial small subunit ribosomal RNA", at positions 30 to 506 of the family's 1533-position model. The record is from RNAcentral.